AUAGUAGUCCAGCUUCAAAAUUUGUUCAAGGAUAAUAAGAGAGUGAAGAAUCCUGAAAAUAACAUUAGCAGUGAAGUGAAGUGCAGGGAUGGCCAUUUUAAAAUCCCACAAAACUUGAAUUUUAUUCACUUUCCUAAAAUCUAAGAACAGCAAUUAGGCCUACGGUCAAGAAACAUAAAAAGAAAAGGCACAAAUAACUAGAUUCUAUAUAUAUUUAUUGCAUUCAACAACAGACGCUGAAUUUAUUAAAUAAUUUUUAAAUUAAAAAUGACAUGGGAACAUUUCA
This is a non-coding RNA of Styela clava, 286 nucleotides long. Lineage: Eukaryota; Metazoa; Chordata; Ascidiacea; Stolidobranchia; Styelidae. The record is from RefSeq and is a predicted model, not a curated record.